RNAcentral lists this ribosomal RNA (485 nucleotides) under uncultured bacterium. Its description in RNAcentral is "bacterial SSU rRNA". It matches the Rfam family "Bacterial small subunit ribosomal RNA", at positions 24 to 507 of the family's 1533-position model. The record is from RNAcentral.
UCAGAUUGAACGCUGGCGGAAUGGCUUUACACAUGCAAGUCGAACGGUAGAGGGGGCAACCCCUUGAGAGUGGCGAACGGGUGAGUAAUAUAUCGGAACGUGCCCAGUCGUGGGGGAUAACGUAGCGAAAGUUACGCUAAUACCGCAUACGAUCUAUGGAUGAAAGCGGGGGAUCGCAAGACCUCGCGCGAUUGGAGCGGCCGAUAUCAGAUUAGGUAGUUGGUGAGGUAAAGGCUCACCAAGCCGACGAUCUGUAGCUGGUCUGAGAGGACGACCAGCCACACUGGGACUGAGACACGGCCCAGACUCCUACGGGAGGCAGCAGUGGGGAAUUUUGGACAAUGGGCGCAAGCCUGAUCCAGCAAUGCCGCGUGCAGGAUGAAGGCCUUCGGGUUGUAAACUGCUUUUGUACGGAACGAAACGGUGAGCUCUAAUACAGUUUGCUAAUGACGGUACCGUAAGAAUAAGCACCGGCUAACUACGUG